AAUAUUUGACAAUGGGGGCAACCCUGAUCCAGCCAUGCCGCGUGUGUGAAGAAGGUCUUCGGAUUGUAAAGCCCUUUAAGUUGGGAGGAAGGGCUUUGGGUUAUUACCCUGAAUUUUUUCUGUUCCCAACAGAAUAAUCACCGGCUACCUCUGUGCCAGCAGCCGCGGUAAUACAGAGGGUGCAAGCGUUAAUCGGAAUUACUGGGCGUAAAGCGCGCGUAGGUGGUUCAGUAAGAUGGGUGUGAAAUCCCCGGGCUUAACCUGGGAACUGCUUUCAUAACUGCUGAGCUAGAGUACGGUAGAGGGUAGUGGAAUUUCCUGUGUAGCGGUGAAAUGCGUAGAUAUAGGAAGGAACACCAGUGGCGAGGGCGACUACCUGGACUGAUACUGACACUGAGGUGCGAAAGCGUGGGGAGCAAAC
Molecule: ribosomal RNA, 421 nt
Filed under: uncultured bacterium
Lineage: Bacteria
Description: partial 16S ribosomal RNA
Rfam family: Bacterial small subunit ribosomal RNA
Source: RNAcentral